RNAcentral lists this ribosomal RNA (1731 nucleotides) under Salmonella enterica subsp. enterica. RNAcentral's name for it is "partial 23S ribosomal RNA". It matches the Rfam family "Bacterial large subunit ribosomal RNA", at positions 1 to 2188 of the family's 2925-position model. Lineage: Bacteria; Pseudomonadati; Pseudomonadota; Gammaproteobacteria; Enterobacterales; Enterobacteriaceae. The record is from RNAcentral.
CCACCACCAAAGCGUUUCGCUUUGCGUGGUGCGCAAAAUGCGUAACGACAGCACGAUUGCGGUUAACGGAGCGUAAGCGACGUUCAACACAACAAUCAGGCAGUGGAGCGUUUUGGGGUGGGGUGACUGCGUACCUUUUGUAUAAUGGGUCAGCGACUUAUAUUCUGUAGCAAGGUUAACCGAAUAGGGGAGCCGGAGGGAAACCGAGUCUUAAUUGGGCGUUAAGUUGCAGGGUAUAGACCCGAAACCCGGUGAUCUAGCCAUGGGCAGGUUGAAGGUUGGGUAACACUAACUGGAGGACCGAACCGACUAAUGUUGAAAAAUUAGCGGAUGACCUGUGGCUGGGGGUGAAAGGCCAAUCAAACCGGGAGAUAGCUGGUUCUCCCCGAAAGCUAUUUAGGUAGCGCCUCGUGAAUUCAUCUCCGGGGGUAGAGCACUGUUUCGGCCAGGGGGCCAUCCCGGCUUACCAACCCGAUGCAAACUGCGAAUACCGGAGAAUGUUAUCACGGGAGACACACGGCGGGUGCUAACGUCCGUCGUGAAGAGGGAAACAACCCAGACCGCCAGCUAAGGUCCCAAAGUCAUGGUUAAGUGGGAAACGAUGUGGGAAGGCCCAGACAGCCAGGAUGUUGGCUUAGAAGCAGCCAUCAUUUAAAGAAAGCGUAAUAGCUCACUGGUCGAGUCGGCCUGCGCGGAAGAUGUAACGGGGCUAAACCAUGCACCGAAGCUGCGGCAGCGACACUGUGUGUUGUUGGGUAGGGGAGCGUUCUGUAAGCCUGCGAAGGUGUGUCGUGAGGCAUGCUGGAGGUAUCAGAAGUGCGAAUGCUGACAUAAGUAACGAUAAUGCGGGUGAAAAACCCGCACGCCGGAAGACCAAGGGUUCCUGUCCAACGUUAAUCGGGGCAGGGUGAGUCGACCCCUAAGGCGAGGCCGAAAGGCGUAGUCGAUGGGAAACGGGUUAAUAUUCCCGUACCUGGUGUUACUGCGAAGGGGGGACGGAGAAGGCUAUGUUGGCCGGGCGACGGUUGUCCCGGUUUAAGCGUGUAGGCUGGUUUUCCAGGCAAAUCCGGAAAAUCAAGGCUGAGGCGUGACGACGAGGCACUACGGUGCUGAAGCAACAAAUGCCCUGCUUCCAGGAAAAGCCUCUAAGCCUCAGGUAACAUCAGAUCGUACCCGAAACCGACACAGGUGGUCAGGUAGAGAAUACCAAGGCGCUUGAGAGAACCCGGGUGAAGGAACUAGGCAAAAUGGUGCCGUAACUUCGGGAGAAGGCACGCUGACAUGUAAGUGAAGCGGUUUACCCGUGGAGCUGAAGUCAGUCGAAGAUACCAGCUGGCUGCAACUGUUUAUUAAAAACACAGCACUGUGCAAACACGAAAGUGGACGUAUACGGUGUGACGCCUGCCCGGUGCCGGAAGGUUAAUUGAUGGGGUCAGCGCAAGCGAAGCUCCUGAUCGAAGCCCCGGUAAACGGCGGCCGUAACUAUAACGGUCCUAAGGUAGCGAAAUUCCUUGUCGGGUAAGUUCCGACCUGCACGAAUGGCGUAAUGAUGGCCAGGCUGUCUCCACCCGGGACUCAGUGAAAUUGAACUCGCUGUGAAGAUGCAGUGUACCCGCGGCAAGACGGAAAGACCCCGUGAACCUUUACUAUAGCUUGACACUGAACACUGGUCCUUGAUGUGCAGGAUAGGUGGGAGGCUUUGAAGUGUGGACGCCAGUCUGCAUGGAGCCG